UACGUAGGGGGCAAGCGUUGUCCGGAUUUAUUGGGCGUAAAGGGCGCGUAGGCGGUGCGGUAAGUCACCUGUGAAAUCUCCUGGCUCAACUGGGAGCUUGCAGGCGAAACUGCCGUGCUGGAGUGUGGGAGAGGUGCGUGGAAUUCCCGGUGUAGCGGUGAAAUGCGUAGAUAUCGGAAGGAACAUCAGUGGCGAAAGCGGCUUCCUGGACCAGUACCGACGUUCAGGCACGAAAGCGUGGGGAGCAAACAGG
Molecule: ribosomal RNA, 253 nt
Filed under: uncultured bacterium
Lineage: Bacteria
Description: partial 16S ribosomal RNA
Rfam family: Bacterial small subunit ribosomal RNA
Source: RNAcentral